UGGUGGAGUGAUUUGUCUGGUUAAUUCCGAUAACGAACGAGACCUCUACCUGCUAAAUAGGUGUUGGUUCCUGCGAGAACCAGCAGACUUCUUAGAGGGACUGUUGGCGUUACCAGUCAACGGAAGUUGGAGGCAAUAACA
RNAcentral lists this ribosomal RNA (141 nucleotides) under uncultured eukaryote. Its description in RNAcentral is "partial 18S ribosomal RNA". It matches the Rfam family "Eukaryotic small subunit ribosomal RNA", at positions 1299 to 1458 of the family's 1831-position model. The record is from RNAcentral.